Molecule: long non-coding RNA, 642 nt
Organism: Neopsephotus bourkii (Bourke's parrot)
Lineage: Eukaryota; Metazoa; Chordata; Aves; Psittaciformes; Psittacidae
Exons: 5
Source: RefSeq, a predicted model, not a curated record
AAAAAAGCGUGUGUGCCUGGAGUCUUGGGAAUCAGGGUGUCCCUGCCCACGUGCGACCCAGGGUGCUAUUGAAAAGGAAGCUGAGAAGGCAGGGACAGGUUGUACUUCCUGUGCUGAGAAGCAUGGACAUACUCAUCCUAUGUUCAAUAGACAGUCAAGAUUCAAUGUUUUAUAACCAGUUCCUCAGUGCAAGCGUGCUGUGUGACUUCAAGUAGAGCACAAGUUACCACACCUGUUUAACUGUUAAGGUCACAGGAUAAAAAUCACUGACUCCAGAGGGACUUGUUUCUUGACUCUUCUGACCAUUAAGCUAAGAUGGGGGAGAAUGCUUCUUUCUCUGUAUCACUGGAGAUAAACCCAGAACUGCAUCUAGAAAACAUGACACCCAAGGAAGGCAAUACGAGGAAUUAUCUGCUUAACCUCAAUCAGAAGACAACGAAAGCUGAAGUACAGCUGCCAAAGAAAAGCAGUGGUGGGUGGAAGAAAGGCCUACUUUGAGUGAAGCUGGAUGGAUGCUGCCUUCACCCUCAGCUCUACUGCCAAGGGGGGGGUGUGCUUUGGUUUUGCUUCCUGUCUCUACCACCAGUGUGAGAAAGCAGGCAGAUGGGAAACCAGAACUGCAAAAACAUCCCCUGGUGUACA